CGGCAGGCUUAACACAUGCAAGUCGAGGGGUAACAGGGGAGCUUGCUUCCGCUGACGACCGGCGCACGGGUGCGUAACGCGUAUAGAACCUACCUUUUACAGAGGGAUAGCCUUUAGAAAUGAAGAUUAAUACCUCAUAGUAUUGCGAGAUGGCAUCAUUUUGUAAUUAAAGAUUUAUCGGUAAAAGAUGGCUAUGCGUCCUAUUAGCUAGAUGGAGAGGUAACGGCUCCCCAUGGCAAUGAUAGGUAGGGGUCCUGAGAGGGAGAUCCCCCACACUGGUACUGAGACACGGACCAGACUCCUACGGGAGGCAGCAGUGAGGAAUAUUGGGCAAUGGAGGCAACUCUGACCCAGCCAUGCCGCGUGCAGGAAGACUGCCCUAUGGGUUGUAAACUGCUUUUAUACGGGAAGAAACACCGCUACGUGUAGCGGCUUGACGGUACCGUAAGAAUAAGCACCGGCUAACUCCGUGCCAGCAGCCGCGGUAAUACGGAGGGUGCAAGCGUUAUCCGGAAUCAUUGGGUUUAAAGGGUCCGCAGGCGGUCAAUUAAGUCAGAGGUGAAAUCCCAUAGCUUAACUAUGGAACUGCCUUUGAUACUGGUUGACUUGAGUUAUACGGAAGUAGAUAGAAUGUGUAGUGUAGCGGUGAAAUGCAUAGAUAUUACACAGAAUACCGAUUGCGAAGGCAGUCUACUACGUAUAUACUGACGCUCAUGGACG
Molecule: ribosomal RNA, 720 nt
Filed under: bacterium w3cb14
Lineage: Bacteria
Description: bacterial SSU rRNA
Rfam family: Bacterial small subunit ribosomal RNA
Source: RNAcentral